Long non-coding RNA from Grus americana (Whooping crane), 793 nucleotides. RefSeq lists it as uncharacterized. NCBI's taxonomy places the organism in Eukaryota, Metazoa, Chordata, Aves, Gruiformes, Gruidae. The transcript has 3 exons. The record is from RefSeq and is a predicted model, not a curated record.
UUCUCCUCAAAGUGUUUCACAGCGUGAACGCGGAUAAUGCUGGACCCACCCAGCACAAAGAGGAAAGCAAGCCCAAACACCUGAAGGAUUAUUCAUAACUUUAAAACCGGCCAGUGUGAGAUUAUUUUGGAAUCAACACAAGACUUGAUUUUGACAGAAGUUCUGCUCCUCGACCAAAGCUUGGGCUUGCCACCAGCAUAUGCUCACUUUAUGUUUGUCCACGACUUCAAAGACCAAGAGGCCAACAGGCUGCACUUCCAACCCGCCGCACAGCUUUUGUUUCCCUAUUCCUAGGGGCCCUUCGGAAGCCGCAGCAGAGACGCGCAGGUGCUGGUUUACUACCCCGCGAGGCCGGUAACCUCCAGGCGAGCGGGGGAGAAGCUCCGGGCAGAGCCCCAGGCACCCCACAGGCCCCGCUCCGGGCCGGCCCGGCCGCCGCUGCGCCGGAGGGCAGACCCGGCGGCGGCACCUCGGCCAAGGCAGGGAGGGGAAGAGCCGAGCAGGUCGCUAAUGGAAAUGAAAGGCUGUUACCUGAGGCAGCGGCAGAAGGGAGAAUUUUUCAUCAUAUCAAGGAAGUGACAAAAGACCCCAUCCUUUGACUCAGAACUACUAACAGAACAGGAGGAGCCUUUGGGAACAGUCCUGCCAAGUGACCUGCGACAGCAGAUUCGCUUGAUGAUUAUGUAGAUGUGACUGAAGAUAAUCAUCGGCGGUGGGAGGACAGGUCUGUCAUGGAAUGUCAUUAUCAGCUGGUACCGCUGGAACUUCCAGACUUGGUUGGAUAUUGAUUUUA